This 253-nucleotide ribosomal RNA is filed under the name uncultured bacterium. RNAcentral's name for it is "partial 16S ribosomal RNA". It matches the Rfam family "Bacterial small subunit ribosomal RNA", at positions 524 to 776 of the family's 1533-position model. The record is from RNAcentral.
UACAGAGGGGGCAAGCGUUAUUCGGAAUUAUUGGGCGUAAAGGGCGCGUAGGCGGCUUUGCAAGUGGCGGGUGAAAUCCCUCGGCUUAACCGAGGAACUGCCUGUCAAACUGCAUGGCUUGAGACCAGGAGAGGUGAGUGGAAUUCCCAGUGUAGCGGUGAAAUGCGUAGAUAUUGGGAGGAACACCAGUGGCGAAGGCGGCUCACUGGACUGGUACUGACGCUGAGAUGCGAAAGUGUGGGGAGCAAACGGG